UACGGAGGAUCCAAGCGUUAUCCGGAUUUAUUGGGUUUAAAGGGUGCGUAGGCGGCUUAUUAAGUCAGAGGUGAAAGACGGUGGCUCAACCAUCGCAGUGCCCUUGAUACUGAUGAGCUUGAAUACACUUGAGGUAGGCGGAAUGUGACAAGUAGCGGUGAAAUGCAUAGAUAUGUCACAGAACACCAAUUGCGAAGGCAGCUUACUAAGGUGCAAUUGACGCUGAGGCACGAAAGCGUGGGGAUCAAACAGG
Molecule: ribosomal RNA, 253 nt
Filed under: uncultured bacterium
Lineage: Bacteria
Description: partial 16S ribosomal RNA
Rfam family: Bacterial small subunit ribosomal RNA
Source: RNAcentral